RNAcentral lists this long non-coding RNA (3130 nucleotides) under Marmota monax (woodchuck). Lineage: Eukaryota; Metazoa; Chordata; Mammalia; Rodentia; Sciuridae. The record is from RNAcentral.
GUGCUAGGCAGCAGUGAAAAUGCUGCCCAGAAAAUGCUGGACGCCACGACCGACCUCUCUCCUCUCACAGAGCGGUCCCGAUGCUCCCUCGUAUGCUCUUCGGGGGGUCCAGUUUUUGAUAUGCCCAUGAAGUGUCUCUGAUACAGUUUUCUUUUAGUCCAUAAAAAUAGGAUGGGACCAGAGAAAGAAAGAACAGAGCCUCAGAUGGCGAGGCCAAGGAAGUGGCGAGAAGGUGGGGGAGAAACACUGUGAGCACGAGAGACACGCGUAGGAGUCGUCAUUAAGCUACUUUCAAGGGGACCUUUCAUGGAAGCCUUAUCUUUGUCAAUUCAAUUUGAAGACUCCCGAUCCACAGGUCUGCAGAUGACCCUGUGUAGAGACCCUCUUGGAUUAGCUGAUGAAAUGGACAUGAGAAAAUAUGCAUGGCUUCCGCAUCCAUGGAGUCAACCAUUUAAAAAUAUUUAAAAAUGUUUUUUAAAGAUUGCCACUAUACUGUACAGGCACAGAAUUGUUCUUGUCUCUAUUCCCUAAACAAUACGGCAUGUAACUAUAUCCUAUGUUCAGUGUGGGGCAGUUACAUUGUGCUGGGCAUUGUGAGUGGACAUGAUGGGAAUCAUGCAGGAAGACAGGAGGGUUACAGACAGCUAACUUGCCAUUUUAUGGAAGAGACUGGAGUAUCCAUGGAUUUUGGUCUCCAUGGGGAUCUUGGAACCAGUCUCACAUGGACAUUGAGAGUGACUGACCACAUGGAAGAAAACACAAGUCCUCCCAAUUGCCCUGAUUGGGCCCAGCGAAGGGGGGUUCUUCUGGCCCUUUUGUGCAGUGGGACAGAUUUCAGUGUAAGACAAAGUAGUUUCCCCUCCACCCUGACACCUGUGGCCUGAUGUCCUCACUGCCCUGCCAGAGUCACCCCACUCCUUCAACCAGUGGACCUCCUGGAGCCUCUGGUCCUGACACCUAGAGAAGUCAUUAUUCAUUUAUUUGAAAAGUGUGCAUGGAGCAUUGAUUGGCAUCAGGCCUCAAGCUCAUGUCUUGCUUGACCUUUGUCUUGGAGGAUCUCAUAGGUAGCAGGGCAUCCUGGCUUCCUAGCUAAUGCCUGGACUGUGUCCCGCGGGAGUGCAGGGGCCAGCACAGGAGCGGUCUAAGAAGUCAGCACCAGAGAGCAGACCCAUCUCACCCAGGCCCUCUCUCUGCCUGGUAGAUGUGCUCUAACUGUGGGAGGGAGCAGGAAGCAGCCACUCCCAAAACCAAGAAGCAAACACCAAAACUAAACCUCACGAAGCCUUCAGGAGGUCAAAGGUCAAGUUCAUUUCACUGCAGAUUUGAGAGGCUUCUCCCACAACUGAGGUACCCAAAGCCUGAGGACCCGAAUCCUGCAAUGCAGCAGGAGGGCCUAGGGCUGGCCCGGGCAUCUCCUCUCACUCUCCAGGUUUCUUAAAGAACACACUCGCCUUUAUUGGCAUUAACACUGCCAUCACAAAGAACUGGGAGUCUCCCGGAGUACAAGGGAAAGCAAGACCCAUAUUUUCCUAAGAGCAAAGACAGGAUUGUUGGAGAAGAGGGAGGGAGGAAGAAAAGGGAAAGAAUUUUGCUUAUGGCGCAGGCAUUACUCACUUUCUCCCCUUACAGAGUUAUCUGGUCCAAAAAAGAACCUACCAGGAUUAUUAUCAUCAGAGAAUACCCACAAUCAAUUCCAGCAGGUGACUUUUGAGUAAAGAUUUUUUUUUAAGAUACAGUCCAAUGAAAGAAACUACUAGGAGCUGUUCGGAGCAUCUGGCACCCAGUUCAAGCUGGCCCUGGGGCACUUACUACUCCAUAAAUAACAAGCAGCACACCCACCGCCACAGGAAGCUGCCUGCAUCUGACAGUAGUCAUACCUGGGUUGAGCAGUGCAUGCAGAGCGGUGCACCUGCCCUCGCGACUGCCCCUGUCUCGCCCCUCAGGAGGCCUUUGUGAAAAUACUGAUGACUGCAGACAACAGUUCAGCCAGCCACUUCUCCAGUGGUCACCUGCUCCAGGAACUGGCUGCUCCCCAGGGCUUUCCCUGAGGGAAGAGGAGCUGGACCCUCCCGAACACCUGCUCAGCAGCUUCCAAUCUGCAGGGUGUUUUCCUUCACCGCAGGGUGGCUAGCAAGCCCCCCGCCCGUCACCUCCACAGUCUCCGUGACACUGGAGGAUGAGCAGUGGGCAUCUGCCAAGUCUGCAGAGGCAGUCCACUCUGCCUCGUUUUCUCCAAGUUUGCCUGCUUAUCGCCAAGCCCCCAGAAAGCUGGCCCAACCAACAGUCCCCCAACCUGACCCUAAGAGUGCCCUGAAGAGCCCAGGAGUCCCUUCCCAUGCAGCAGCUGAUAGGGGUGUCUCGUGACUCUCCAGGCCCCACCGCUGAAUUGCAAGGAUUUGGGUUCUCAACCCUCAGGGACCCUGGUUGUGGGAAAUGUCUCAAGUCAAUCUACAGUGAAAACGGCUUCGAACCCUUCCACCUCCCGAUGGUUGGGCUUCCUGGUCUCUGGAGUUUACCUUCUGCUCCCUUGGCACUGGGAGCUGCGGGGUCUGUCCUUGCUCCCUGCUGGCCCCCACGUGUUCUCUGGUCUACACCCUUGUUUAUGAGCCUGCUUCACUGCCUUCAGCUGUCUGUGGUCUCACAGAGGAUGGGUGGCACUCCUCAGCCUGUUAUCGCGGCAGAUACAGUUCUGGGAAGAGAAAAAAUAAGGUCUUGCUUUGAGGAGGUAAGUGGGAGAGACUGACAUGGAGGUGCAGAUAAAACGCACCGUAGCUUGUUUUCAUGCCUCUCAACUGAAAUCAGAGAAUAGCCACAGAGGAGCAGGGCGCCCAGACCAGGGGAGGGGCCAUCCGGGCCUGGGAGGAGAGAGCCCUGGGCCCUGGCAAAGUCUCUCUGGGGCAGCCUGAGCUCACAUUUAAAAGGGGGAAAGGUUUCUGAAAUAUGCAGAGUGGUUGAUAGCUGUGAUGCCCAUUGCGACCACCCCUGGGGACAGAGGGAAGAGGGGGACAGGAGCUCAGCAGGUGCAGCACUUAGAACAGGCAGGGCCUCGGGCUUCUCUUCCCUCCUCCUGCCCUCCCCCUCCCCCCUUUUCUCCCUUCCCUCCUCCCUUCCUUUCCGCCCCACCCCCCUU